CCAGACUCCUACGGGAGGCAGCAGUGAGGAAUAUUGGUCAAUGGGCGCGAGCCUGAACCAGCCAAGUCGCGUGAGGGAGGACGGCCCUACGGGUUGUAAACCUCUUUUGCCGGGGAGCAACGGGCGUCACGUGUGGCGCCACUGAGAGUACCCGGAGAAAAAGCAUCGGCUAACUCCGUGCCAGCAGCCGCGGUAAUACGGAGGAUGCGAGCGUUAAUCGGAAUCACUGGGCGUAAAGCGCGCGUAGGCGGCUUUUCAAGUCAGGGGUGAAAUCCCACGGCCCAACCGUGGAACUGCCUUUGAAACUGUAGAGCUUGAGUGUCGGAGAGGGUGGCGGAAUUCCAGGUGUAGGAGUGAAAUCCGUAGAUAUCUGGAGGAACACCGGUGGCGAAGGCGGCCACCUGGACGACAACUGACGCUGAGGUGCGAAAGCGUGGGUAGCAAACAGGAUUAGAUACCCUUGUA
This 465-nucleotide ribosomal RNA is filed under the name uncultured bacterium. RNAcentral's name for it is "bacterial SSU rRNA". It matches the Rfam family "Bacterial small subunit ribosomal RNA", at positions 331 to 792 of the family's 1533-position model. The record is from RNAcentral.